Molecule: long non-coding RNA, 1047 nt
Filed under: Equus asinus (donkey)
Lineage: Eukaryota; Metazoa; Chordata; Mammalia; Perissodactyla; Equidae
Description: lncRNA (ENSEASG00005026625.1)
Source: RNAcentral
GGGGCGGGGCGAGCAGGCACACGGAGCCAGGCAGGUGAGAAUCCUCCAGAAAGGCAGUGUGGGAAGGUGUCCCUGCUGUGCCCCUCAGCCUGGGUGACAGGACCCCCGUCAGGACAUGAGGUGAGACCCGAGUUGGGCUGUGGAGGGCACCCUGGGAUGGAGUGUACUGCCCUGGGGGCCACAUCUGCCGCCAUGCCGCUGUUGUCCUGUCUGCCCGGGGUGGGACCCUCGACUCACGGGGGCCACUGGGGCUGUGGGGGCUGUGUCAGGUCUGCUGGGUGAGUUGUCCAUGCAGGGGACACAGGAUGAGCAUGGCACUGGCCAGCUGGGCUGGGACCCUGCACUGAGAGUGAGUGGGAACCAGCACAAUACACAGUGACCACACUGGCCUUUUGUGAGAGGAUGCCAAGUACCCAUGGUGGGGGGACCUCCUCCCCUGUGAAAGGGGAGAGCAUGGAAGGUGUGGCAAGCCCUGAAAGCAGCUGACAAUGACUCUUAGGAGCAGGGAUUCAGACCAGGACGACAUACAGCUGCAGGAUAGAAGCUGACAGUCACGCCAGGUGUCAUGCACUGAGCGGUGGGCACUGGGCUGACACUGGAGCUGGCGUGUUUGAGGCAAAGCCCUGGUCUCAUCCCCCUACCUUCCCAGAUUGGCCAUGAGAACCCUGUCACGCCUAGGGCAUCUGCUUGAGGCAGCUUCAGCCGAAGGGCUGGCCAGAGAACUCCAGAUAGCAAGAGGGAUGCAAGAUGCCAGCCUGGACGACACACGUGCCCCAGGUGUGAAAGGCAAGAGGAGCCGAACACAGGAGGAAAGAGGCAGGGGGACCUGCCUGAGGCAGAGUCAGGACCCAGGUAGCCCCAGCCCAGGGUGCCCACGGGGAGCCGGGCUGGCCCAGGAAGCUCAAGGUGGCACCGUCUUGCUAGUCCUGGGCCCGACUUGGGGCGACUGCAACAGUUUCGGGACAGGGCCCGCCACCCUGCCCCACACUGCCCAACUAGUCAGUUCUGUCGACCCCAGGCCUCACCCCCUGCACCCCCCCCCCCCCC